Long non-coding RNA from Amborella trichopoda, 590 nucleotides. RefSeq lists it as uncharacterized. The record is from RefSeq and is a predicted model, not a curated record. Lineage: Eukaryota; Viridiplantae; Streptophyta; Magnoliopsida; Amborellales; Amborellaceae.
AAUAUAUUUGACAGACAAUAUAACUUUUAAGUAUCCAAACAACCUCUUAAUGAAAAUUUUCCCGCCCAAUCUCUCUCUAGGCUUUUCUCCCUCAUGAUACUCUCUAUGGAAUUGAAGGACGAGCGACGCAUUGAUGGUGAUCAUCAUUCUCUAAGACUCUCACGCCUAACAAAGAAUCAAGGAACCCUGGUCCCUUGAUCCAACUCUCUCUCAGCCAAAAAGGAUGAACCUUGCCUCUUCAAUGGUGAGUCAGUCUCUGUGAAUCUUGCAAUCGGAAAGUAAGAGAGAGAAAAUGACAUGAUCUUUUUUUUAUCUCUCUAAGCAUCCCCCAAAGAUCUCAAGGUGAUCCCCAAUGGUGGAUGACUAACACUCGAGGUGAAGUGGAUGAGGAGCAGCAGAGGUCUAUAGCUAUGGGGAGUACAAAUAAACCUCAAGUGAGCAUGAGUAACAUCGAAGGCAAUGUGCCUGAGCAACCCCAGUGAUUGGCUUAAUUUUUCACGUGAUCACAUUUAAGCUUUACUUGUAUUUGUAACUUUUAAGCGUUACUUAUAUUUGUAUGUAUGUAAAUAAAAUAAAAUUUUAAUUGUCAA